RNAcentral lists this ribosomal RNA (465 nucleotides) under uncultured bacterium. RNAcentral's name for it is "partial 16S ribosomal RNA". It matches the Rfam family "Bacterial small subunit ribosomal RNA", at positions 338 to 795 of the family's 1533-position model. The record is from RNAcentral.
CCUACGGGGGGCAGCAGUAGGGAAUCUUCCACAAUGGACGAAAGUCUGAUGGAGCAACGCCGCGUGAGUGAAGAAGGGUUUCGGCUCGUAAAGCUCUGUUGGUAGUGAAGAAAGAUAGAGGUAGUAACUGGCCUUUAUUUGACGGUAAUUACUUAGAAAGUCACGGCUAACUACGUGACAGCAGCCGCGGUAAUACGUAGGUGGCAAGCUUUGUCCGGAUUUAUUGGGCGUAAAGCGAGUGCAGGCGGUGCAAUAAGUCUGAUGUGAAAGCAUUCGGCUCAACGGGAGAAUUGCAUCAGAAACUGGUGAACUUGAGUGCAGAAGAGGAGAGUGGAACUCCAGGUGUAGCGGUGGAAUGCGUAGAUAUAUGGAAGAACACCAGUGGCGAAGGCGGCUCUCUGGUCUGCAACUGACGCUGAGGCUCGAAAGCAUGGGUAGCGAACAGGAUUAGAUACCCUUGUAGUC